This 253-nucleotide ribosomal RNA is filed under the name uncultured bacterium. Its description in RNAcentral is "partial 16S ribosomal RNA". It matches the Rfam family "Bacterial small subunit ribosomal RNA", at positions 524 to 776 of the family's 1533-position model. The record is from RNAcentral.
UACGGGGGGGGCAAGCGUUGUUCGGAAUUACUGGGCGUAAAGGGCUCGUAGGUGGCCAACUAAGUCAGACGUGAAAUCCCUCGGCUUAACCGGGGAACUGCGUCUGAUACUGGAUGGCUUGAGUUCGGGAGAGGGAUGCGGAAUUCCAGGUGUAGCGGUGAAAUGCGUAGAUAUCUGGAGGAACACCGGUGGCGAAGGCGGCAUCCUGGACCGACAUUGACGCUGAGGCGCGAAAGCCAGGGGAGCAAACGGG